AAAGCAGGCUGCAAUUACAGUGCUUCACUCUGUGGGAGCACUGCCAUGUCCCUGCUGAGAGCAACUCUGUUAACUGAGGAUUUGAUCUCUGUGCUGUGAAAUCAUUUCCCUGUAACAGUGACAAGU
Molecule: small nucleolar RNA, 126 nt
Organism: Varanus komodoensis (Komodo dragon)
Lineage: Eukaryota; Metazoa; Chordata; Lepidosauria; Squamata; Varanidae
Source: Ensembl